UACGGAGGAUGCGAGCGUUAUCCGGAUUUAUUGGGUUUAAAGGGUGCGUAGGCGGCCUGCCAAGUCAGCGGUAAAAUUGCGGGGCUCAACCCCGUACAGCCGUUGAAACUGCCGGGCUCGAGUGGGCGAGAAGUAUGCGGAAUGCGUGGUGUAGCGGUGAAAUGCAUAGAUAUCACGCAGAACCCCGAUUGCGAAGGCAGCAUACCGGCGCCCUACUGACGCCGAGGCACGAAAGUGCGGGGAUCAAACAGG
This 252-nucleotide ribosomal RNA is filed under the name uncultured bacterium. RNAcentral's name for it is "partial 16S ribosomal RNA". It matches the Rfam family "Bacterial small subunit ribosomal RNA", at positions 524 to 776 of the family's 1533-position model. The record is from RNAcentral.